This 503-nucleotide ribosomal RNA is filed under the name uncultured bacterium. Its description in RNAcentral is "partial 16S ribosomal RNA". It matches the Rfam family "Bacterial small subunit ribosomal RNA", at positions 30 to 523 of the family's 1533-position model. The record is from RNAcentral.
AUUGAACGCUGGCGGCAGGCUUAACACAUGCAAGUCGAGCGGAGUGAUGGUGCUUGCACUAUCACUUAGCGGCGGACGGGUGAGUAAUGCUUAGGAAUCUGCCUAUUAGUGGGGGACAACAUCUCGAAAGGGAUGCUAAUACCGCAUACGUCCUACGGGAGAAAGCAGGGGAUCACUUGUGACCUUGCGCUAAUAGAUGAGCCUAAGUCGGAUUAGCUAGUUGGUGGGGAAAAGGCCUACCAAGGCGACGAUCUGUAGCGGGUCUGAGAGGAUGAUCCGCCCCACUGGGACUGAGACACGGCCCAGACUCCUACGGGAGGCAGCAGUGGGGAAUAUUGGACAAUGGGGGGAACCCUGAUCCAGCCAUGCCGCGUGUGUGAAGAAGGCCUUAUGGUUGUAAAGCACUUUAAGCGAGGAGGAGGCUCUUUUGGUUAAUACCCAAGAUGAGUGGACGUUACUCGCAGAAUAAGCACCGGCUAACUCUGUGCCAGCCGCCGCAGUAA